UGCUGCCGCCAGGCUCGCUUCGGGCGGGUUGGACGCGGACGCGUCUCUGGGAGAACUUCCCGCUCGCCCAGCUGGCUGCCUUCACAGAAGGGAAACUAAGGCUGAAAGAGAACCAUCCAGAGCUGGUGUAUUGUACUAAAAAGAUGAGGUGUGAACUGGGAAAUACACUGACCUGGUAGCCAUAGAAGAGAGAAAUUCCAUAUCAGUAAUAGUCAACGUCAUUCUAUGCAAGUGGAAUCAUCUGGUAGCCAGAGAGCAGAAGAACUGGCCACUCUAGGAGAUAGGCUGCAGAUACAGAAUUUCAUGCCCUGGGCCACUUGAUACAGUAUGUAGCAAUUUCGAUCUUAUCAGGAUAAAUGGCCUCAGCCUGCAGUUGCUUGAUCUCUGAUGCCUUUCUGUAACAACUGAGGGGGACUGAGACCCCAUGAGCACAGCUGAAUGCAAAAUUCCUGAGGCUGUUUCAACAGAAGAAAUACCAUGUUUUUCAUCUCAAAGUUUAAAAACAAGACAGUCUGUCUUCUCUACAGUAUGUAUUGCCUUACAGGAGUUGAGAUGUGUAUGUUUUUGUAUCUAACAAGUACUUCCUUAGUGAAAUGUUCCUUUUUUAUAUGCAAUUUAGCAUGGUUCCCCCAGAGAGAGAGAGAGAGUGUGUUAAAUUCUUCCCUACCUAAUCCAGAACAAAUUAUCACUUUUGCCAACUAGUACAAACUCCAAGCAACUACUACACUCCUCACACAUGCCUAUGGUUGUGUUGUACUACUUCAAUACAGUGGUACCUCUGGUUACGUACUUAAU
This is a non-coding RNA of Podarcis muralis (Common wall lizard), 795 nucleotides long. NCBI's taxonomy places the organism in Eukaryota, Metazoa, Chordata, Lepidosauria, Squamata, Lacertidae. The record is from RefSeq and is a predicted model, not a curated record.